Pseudophryne corroboree (corroboree frog) is the source of this 547-nucleotide long non-coding RNA. RefSeq lists it as uncharacterized. NCBI's taxonomy places the organism in Eukaryota, Metazoa, Chordata, Amphibia, Anura, Myobatrachidae. The transcript is spliced from 3 exons. The record is from RefSeq and is a predicted model, not a curated record.
CCGUAACGUCACUUCCCGCGGAAGUGUCCUGCUCGUGGAGACGGACGCCGGGCCCGGGACACGGCGGCAGCAGCAACCAGCGGGGGAUAGUCUUGAGGGUUGGGCCGACUUCAAAUCCCGCCUGAAGGGCAAGAGGUCUGCGGAGUGGAAUGCCUCGAGGGCAACUGGGGGAGGGCCAGCUGCCACUGUGGAGUACACAGAUCUGGAGGAGAUGGCGAUGGACUGUGUGAGCUACGAGGAGGGGGUAGGGGUGUCUCAUAUGGACACGGACCUGCCUGAAAUACUGAUGGCACAUGACUUGCCAGUGGAUGGCUGAUUGUUUCCUGAGUCAACUGAAAACCAGCCGCUCAGAGAAGAAAAAAAAAAUAAAAUUUGACCUUCCCAAAAUGGCCGCUGCUCCUCCCCCUUCCACCUCCAUGAGGGUCACACAAAAUGGUGGACAGACCAUGCGGCCUCUUGUCACAAAGAAAGUCAUCAUUCAAAACUCCUAAAGUUAUCCUAGGCCUGAGUGUGUAGUUGGCACCAAAUUGAAAUAAAAACCAGAUUU